AGCUAAUACCGCAUAACGUCGCAAGACCAAAGAGGGGGACCUUCGGGCCUCUUGCCAUCGGAUGUGCCCAGAUGGGAUUAGCUAGUAGGUGGGGUAACGGCUCACCUAGGCGACGAUCCCUAGCUGGUCUGAGAGGAUGACCAGCCACACUGGAACUGAGACACGGUCCAGACUCCUACGGGAGGCAGCAGUGGGGAAUAUUGCACAAUGGGCGCAAGCCUGAUGCAGCCAUGCCGCGUGUAUGAAGAAGGCCUUCGGGUUGUAAAGUACUUUCAGCGGGGAGGAAGGGAGUAAAGUUAAUACCUUUGCUCAUUGACGUUACCCGCAGAAGAAGCACCGGCUAACUCCGUGCCAGCAGCCGCGGUAAUACGGAGGGUGCAAGCGUUAAUCGGAAUUACUGGGCGUAAAGCGCACGCAGGCGGUUUGUUAAGUCAGAUGUGAAAUCCCCGGGCUCAACCUGGGAACUGCAUCUGAUACUGGCAAGCUUGAGUCUCGUAGAGGGGGGUAGAAUUCCAGGUGUAGCGGUGAAAUGCGUAGAGAUCUGGAGGAAU
RNAcentral lists this ribosomal RNA (551 nucleotides) under Escherichia coli. Its description in RNAcentral is "bacterial SSU rRNA". It matches the Rfam family "Bacterial small subunit ribosomal RNA", at positions 161 to 707 of the family's 1533-position model. Lineage: Bacteria; Pseudomonadati; Pseudomonadota; Gammaproteobacteria; Enterobacterales; Enterobacteriaceae. The record is from RNAcentral.